UUACAUACCUGGACGGGGUCAAUGGGCGAUCAGAGAUGCCUAUGGCCUAGGUUGGCGGCCUCUAUUGCACAUUAUUGAGGUGCAUCAGCCUAACAUCUUCCAUUUGUCGAGAGUGUACGUCAUAAUUUGUGGUAGUUGGGGGCUAGUAUUUGUGCGGCCCCCUC
Molecule: small nuclear RNA, 164 nt
Organism: Hibiscus syriacus
Lineage: Eukaryota; Viridiplantae; Streptophyta; Magnoliopsida; Malvales; Malvaceae
Product: U1 spliceosomal RNA
Exons: 1
Source: RefSeq, a predicted model, not a curated record